UACUGACCGUCUUCAUUUUUAUAAAAUUUCUUAUACGUCUAUAAGCUAUGGUUAAGUCAAUUUGCUUGAUAAUGGAUGAAUAAAGGAUGAAGAAGCGCAAGCGCACUUGACUAUCGCCUCCAGCUGACAGAUCAGUCUACUUUGAGACGUCGAAGAAGAAGCUGAUGUUCAAUAAAUUGUUCGUUCAGCAGCGACAAAUUUUUUUCCACUGAAACCUUUUGUGCAGCAGUAUUUUUUGCAAAGCUAUGACAGAAGGUAUUUAACAAUCUACCGAUGUUUUGACAUCACUUUGAUUGGAACGGUGUUUUCCUCUACUUUUUCCAUAAAAUGAAACAGCACAUGGCAUCUUUCUUGUACGUUUUUAAAGAACAGGUCUGUUUUUUACGGAUACACACGGAUUAUUUCUUGUACAUUUUUAUGUAGAGUCGUGCAAAGAUUCUUCGUAUAUAGACGCGGAGCAGUGUCACUGCUCUUUCGUCACCACACGCGUAAUGUUAGCGGAAGACACAAUCAUGUCUCUCUUGCCCGUAUAUCAUACUUACAAUUACAUAGUUGAGAUUAUCAUACUAAGUCCAGUAAUUAAACAGUACAUUAAUAUUUUAUCCCAAAUUACAUAUUUAAAUACAAUACAGAAUUACAACAUUAAAUUUAAUAAUGAAUAUUUUCUAAAGUAUGAUAUAUUAAAUUAGCAACUAAUAGGAUUCCCUUAAAUAAAACAAAUACCUAAAAUAAUAUAAAAUCUAUACUAUCAAAUUUAAGUAAUAUCUUGCCUAAAAUAAUCGACAUGUGCCAAUUUCUGUCUGAUACAUAUAACAUAGGCAGUUUCUUUCUUUCUUUCAUCACUUAUCUUUGUGAGGACAAUUAUAAUGCAUAUAAGCGUUCCUCUGAAUAACUAUAUCUUCAUUGUUAUUUCUUUGUCAUCUCAUACUCAUAAACGCAUGGCGUGCAUAACAGUAAAAUAUGAUACAGC
Ooceraea biroi (clonal raider ant) is the source of this 970-nucleotide long non-coding RNA. RefSeq lists it as uncharacterized. Lineage: Eukaryota; Metazoa; Arthropoda; Insecta; Hymenoptera; Formicidae. The record is from RefSeq and is a predicted model, not a curated record.